Molecule: ribosomal RNA, 301 nt
Filed under: uncultured bacterium
Lineage: Bacteria
Description: partial 16S ribosomal RNA
Rfam family: Bacterial small subunit ribosomal RNA
Source: RNAcentral
CAGCCGCCGCGGUAACACGUAGGGUGCAAGCGUUAAUCGGAAUUACUGGGCGUAAAGCGUGCGCAGGCGGUUUGUUAAGACAGAUGUGAAAUCCCCGGGCUCAACCUGGGAACUGCAUUUGUGACUGGCAGGCUAGAGUAUGGCAGAGGGGGGUGGAAUUCCGCGUGUAGCAGUGAAAUGCGUAGAUAUGCGGAGGAACACCGAUGGCGAAGGCAGCCCCCUGGGCCAAUACUGACGCUCAUGCACGAAAGCGUGGGGAGCAAACAGGAUUAGAGACCCCUGUAGUCCCUGUCUCUUAUAC